UUUUUAAUGGUCCUGUCCGAUUCUCUGCUUUAAGCCUGUAUCUAGACAGAAGCCUUGAAUGUGUUUGAGUACAGAUAAGCUGCACAACAGGCUGAGGAGUGAAGGCAUCUUCUCUUUCAUGAAAUAAACAGGUGAGAAUCUCGACACCAGGGCCUCAGUGCCUUCGCUUGCAGAGCUCAGCUCCUCUGAAUUCCCGCUGAGAUCCAAGACCUUCAGAGCGGGAUGUGUGGUCAACAGUUAUAGGUCAGGAGACUCAGAUUGUCCUUGUGUGGUGAAAACAAAGGAUUUAGUGCUUGUAACCUUUCACAGCUUCAGGUAGAAACCUGAGUCUACCUUGUAUGGCAGAUUGUUAGAUGUACACUAAAAGUCUCCUUGCAAGUCUUAUUGUGGGAUCUGAAGAUGAAAACCAUUCUCAAGCAUAAUGGGGUUAUGUAGAUUAGCUCAUUUUGUAAUAAUUAUGGAAGUUAGUUGUUCCAACUGGUAACGUUUAGAACUCAUCUGAAGGCUGUUUGAUAAUCAAACACGGUGAUAAUUUGUUGGAGAUUAAGGGAAGGAGGAGGCACACCAAAAACACCCCAUCAUUACAGCACAUCUGGUCUCCGUUCUCUUCAAAAACCAUGUCACAGCUGACUCAGGCCCUCAAAUCUGGAAGAAAGUGCAGGGGAAUUUCCACUAAUGAAUCCAACAACCACACGAUGAGGCCUCUUUGUGCAGGGACUUCAAUGGAAGCCACAUUCAGAGCAGGCACAGCGAGUCACAAUCAAAGGCACCGCCAAUCCGUUACCACGGGAGCAAAUCUGCAGCUUGUAACUGAACAGACAUCUGUUUCCAUGACAGCUGUCUGGAACGGCAUCAGCCUAACUAACUGCUGCCUCAGAACUAGUCUGACUGUUUGAUAUCUCUUGUGAUAAAGACAGAGACGAUUCUGUCAGAAACCCUCGUCACUUGUUGUUGUGAUGCGCUAAUGCGAAAAGAGAAGUUUGCAUUUGUGUUUAUUUUGUUGGUCUUUGAAGCUGCCGCAAUCAGAGGCUGCAAAAUAUUGGAAGGGAGAAGAAACGUACCCGAGAGAAGUAAACAUACGGAGCGAACUACCCCGGUGUGUUCGACGGAAGCCGCUUCAGAGCGACAAAAGGGAAGUACAAGUUAAACAACAACAUUUCUGACAUAAUGUUUAUUACAGCAAAAUUCAUUUCCACCCUCCCCUCCUUUUCUUAAACAAUCAAACAUCUGUUUUCACAGUGAGAAACUUACAGUGAAGUGAAUGGGGCCAUGUUGAGUCAGUGUAAUUUUUCAUUACAAUGUCAUAAGUGAAUAAUCUUAAAGUAAAAUGGCAGAUUUCUUUCUUGUGACCAGGGGCGUCGGACUGGGGGUAAAACCAGUACUGCUUGUGACACUAGACUUUACCAACUAUUUUGCCUAAUAUGUAAAAUUAAGUCCCGUCCCAUUUUUUUUUUUUCUUUUCAAUAAUCUAUUUCACUUGGCUAUACAUCACAAUAUGUUUUAAAUGAUCUGUCGCUACUUCCGUUACAAAAUAAAUAAAAAAAUUGGUUCCAUUUGCUUCCAUUUCAACUGCCACAAAUGCUAUACUAAUAAAACUUAACUUCACUAAACUUAAAAUAUUCCUUUUAUUAUGCCAAUAUCUCUGUAGUUCUACAUUGUUUAGACGCCUGCCUGGUGGUCUGCUGUUUGAAAGGGCAAGGCCUGCCCGCAGAGAGGGGCUUGACAAGCAGAGCGCAGUGUUAUCCAACGCGAGCUCUUCUUUGCUGCAGGCGGCUCCGUCCCAAACCUCAGCCCUAUCUUGAGUGAACAUCACACAGCCGAGAUGAAAAAGCGGGAAAUCGAUGCAGGGGAGCGCGCGCCAUGUAGAGAGCCUGGCUUUGCUUUGAUCGAAGGCUGACUGACAAGACCUUCAGCCCUGUGAUCUCCGGCAUGAUGAAGGACCGGAGCCGUGGUGGCGCAACAACGUGUGUUUGUUGUAUUUUGUGCGUUGUAGGUUUUGUGUAUUUGUGUACAUGUUUUUGAAAAAAAAAUAUUAGCUUCAAAACCUAGCGAGCCGCCUACGGAGCCGGCAUUUUAAAACUUCAUAGGCGCUCUUCUGACACAAAGUCUUUCUCAAAGGGUCGUCGCAAUUAUGCUGCCGCCUAAGAUACCUUCUUAAGGCCACAUUUUAAAGCGGAAUCACUAUGCUUUGCAUAAAAGACAAAAAAUUAUAAAUAAUAUACAUAAAUAAAAACUGGUUGUUAGUGUUAAAGGAAUAGUCCACCCAAAAAUUCUGUCAUCAUUUACUCAGUUUAAUUGUUUUGGUUCCCAUUGACUUCCAUUGUAUGGGCAAAAAUACUGUAGAAGUCAAUGGGAACCAAAACUGUUUGGUUACGAGCUUUUGUUGUUUUUUUUUUUGUUUUAUAAUAUCUUCUUUUGCGCUGAGCAGAAGAAUGAAAUGCAUACAGGUUUUGAACAACAUGAGGUUGAGUAAAUGACAGAUUUGAUCACUUUAACUAAAAAACUAUUAAAAUGAUUAAAAAUGUAAAUAAAGCUAAAAUAAAAUAUAAAUAUUAGGUGAAAAACAAACUUUAAAAAACAAAAAUUUGAAAUUAUGCCUUGGCUACUAACUGAAAUUAAAUAAGUUGAAGUUGAAGUAAAUUUAAUACAACUAAAAUUGAAAAUAUAAAUAAAUGAAAGCUAAAUUGGAAUUUAAAUAAAAAACUAGAUUUCUAAAACAAACAAGUUAAAAUGCGAACUGAAAAUAUAAAAUAAAAGCUAAUUUAAAAUACUAAUAUUUAUAUACUGUAAUAGUAUAUAAAUAAUACUAAAAAACAUGAAAAUUAAUCCAAAACUGGUGUAUGAGCUGAAAGAUAUUUUGAUUAUAAAUUAGCUUAUAGUUAAAUGAAAUUAAAAAAAAAUAUGCCUAUUAGCAAUUUACACUGCUUAGCAACAUGCUAAUGUCAAACUUUUGAAAUCAAUCGGCGGUUCUCCAGUUCAGAGUGCUGUUUGUGUUGCUUCUCUGCUGGGGAGUAGAUAUUGAGGCAGCUAGUCAGGUUUUGGAAUGCUUUAUUGUUUAGCCUGCAUAACAAAAAAUGUGUACACAAACACACAACUGGCACAGCCAGGCGGGUCAGGACAAGCCUGUACUCUCUCCUCUUGCCUUCCCUUUUCAGACAAGUACAGAGGGGGUGUGAGACAGAGGGCUCUGUCUGCAUCUAAAGCCUGCUGGGAAAGGCUGUACUCUCAUCUCCCACACAGCAGAAUGCAUAUGCACCAAAAUCCUCUUCACUUUAAAACAACCUUCCCCUUCAGCCUCCUCUGGUACUCCCGACGGGUCAUCACAUGAAGCGUGUCCUCUGGUCUACCUUUGCUGGGGAUGGUGACCUUCACAGAGGCUUGAGAGAUGCCUCGGACCAGAGCAUUGUGGGUACUCUAAGACUGAGUGACAUACACAGCAUGGAAGCACUGGCGAGGAGCUUUGCUGAACCUUGUGAUCCAUGUCACUGCCUCAAUGGGACACACACACCCGAUAUAAAUCCACUGACAUUACAGCGGAUUGAUGUUUAUAUACAAGAGUUUUCAGCUGAAAAGCUGCAUUACCACUGAAAGAGUGACCAUAAUGCAUUGUGGUUCAGAAGAUUCAUGUCUCUCUCUUCUGUGAUUUUUUACCUUCUGCCAAGCUUAAAGAAUGAAAUGAGAGAUUGUAGAUUACUGUAGAUGUCAGAUUUUGCUCCAGCACGCUAAAUUAACAGCUAAAGUAAACACUGUAAAGCUGAAUUGUGUAAUUUCUGUGCCAUUACUGGCAACAAAUAGAAUGGAAAAAGAUUACUCAUAAACACAUGUAUUUUUAAUUAUAUAAUGAUAUGUUUUUAUAAUUUUUUUAUUACACUACUGCUCUACAAUGGUGGGGUCAGUAAAAUUUUUUUGUGUCUCAUGCUCACCAAGGCUGCAUUUAUUUGAUCAAAAAUACAGUAAAAAUAGUAAUAUUGUGAUAUAAUAAAUAUAUGAUUACAAUUUAAAAUAACUCAAUUCUGUUUUCAUACAUUUUGAAAGGUCAUU
This is a long non-coding RNA of Cyprinus carpio carpio, 4041 nucleotides long. NCBI's taxonomy places the organism in Eukaryota, Metazoa, Chordata, Actinopteri, Cypriniformes, Cyprinidae. The record is from Ensembl.